AUUGAACGCUGGCGGCAUGCCUUACACAUGCAAGUCGAACGGCAGCACGGGAGCAAUCCUGGUGGCGAGUGGCGAACGGGUGAGUAAUGUAUCGGAACGUACCUUUCAGUGGGGGAUAACGUAGCGAAAGUUACGCUAAUACCGCAUAUUCUGUGAGCAGGAAAGCAGGGGAUCGCAAGACCUUGCGCUGAUUGAGCGGCCGAUAUCAGAUUAGCUAGUUGGUGAGGUAAAGGCUCACCAAGGCGACGACCUGUAGCGGGUCUGAGAGGAUGAUCCGCCACACUGGAACUGAGACACUGUCCAGACUCCUACGGGAGGCAGCAGUGGGGAAUUUUGGACAAUGGGCGCAAGCCUGAUCCAGCCAUGCCGCGUGAGUGAAGAAGGCCU
This 387-nucleotide ribosomal RNA is filed under the name uncultured bacterium. RNAcentral describes it as "bacterial SSU rRNA". It matches the Rfam family "Bacterial small subunit ribosomal RNA", at positions 30 to 417 of the family's 1533-position model. The record is from RNAcentral.